GGGCAUCGAAUCAUGUUCGGUGAAGACAUUGAGCCAUCAGGGAACUCAUAAUCCCUUGGUCGCUGGUUCGAGUCCAGCUGGGCCCACCA
This 89-nucleotide transfer RNA is filed under the name Alloalcanivorax xenomutans. Its description in RNAcentral is "Alcanivorax xenomutans tRNA-Pseudo-???". The record is from RNAcentral. Lineage: Bacteria; Pseudomonadati; Pseudomonadota; Gammaproteobacteria; Oceanospirillales; Alcanivoracaceae.